UAAUCAGUUCUUUAUCCUUAAAAUUACGUUCAAAUAUUUAAUUUAAACAUAGGAAAAUGCCUUCAGAAGAUUCCAAACCGGUGAAGAAAGUUCUUGAUGAAGAUGACGAACAGAGCAUAGCAACAGCUUUUGGAAACCGCAAGAAGAAAUCAGCCGAUAACAGCAAUGCCAUCUCAAAAUCUCAGAGUAAAGUCAAGAAAGAAGAAAACAAAGUGAAAAGGGAACUAGACGAUGAAGAAUUUGAAGAGCCUACCUCGAAAAAGACGUCAAGGAAGGCUGAUAACAAGGGACAGCAAGAGAAGAAAAAGGGGGCCAAAGCAAGUGACAAGGGUGCUAAGAAAAGGGAAAGGAAAGUUUAUGAUUUGCCAGGUCAAAAGAGGGAUUCUCCCGAGGAAAGAGAUCCAUUGAGGAUUUUCUAUGAGACUUUGUAUGAGCAAGUUCCCUCUAGUGAGAUGGCUGCAAUUUGUUUGCAGAUUUGGUCUGAUCUUUCUUAUCAGUUCAUCAGUUUGCAAUCCAAAUUUGUAUCUGCCAUGCACGAAACACAAUUGCGUUUUGUGCAAAUUUUGGUUACUCUGCACAAAAAGAGAGGUUCAUUCCUAUUCUUUUGCCAUUUAAGAAUAAUCAUUAGCCUUGUCUACUCGAUGCACAUACCCUCGCUUAUUAUGUCUAUUCUGCCUCCAUGCUUCUUAGCAGCCUGCAGAAUGAAUACAUUAGUUACUGUGGCAGGUUAUAAUACAUCUGUUGCUUGACAUGUGGACUGGUAGCAGUAAUCAUCUGAAUUUUUAUUCUUAAUUCGUGAAGUUAUUCAGAGUGUCUAUUUCAAAGGUGUGAAACACUCUCCAGGUGUUGAAUUCCCAGGAUGCAAAAUCUCAUGAAACUCAAAUUUGAUUGAAUUUGAUAGAUCCGGUACCAUGUGGUAACAUCUUUCCUGAAGAUGAUUUAAAAUUUCUUGAUGAUGGAGUCUGGUUUACUUCCAAAGGAGGAAGCAAAGAAAGUUUUUGAGAAAAAACAGAAAAAAGGCCAGGAGCAAAGUCUGGGCUCU
Molecule: RNA transcript, 1042 nt
Organism: Olea europaea var. sylvestris
Lineage: Eukaryota; Viridiplantae; Streptophyta; Magnoliopsida; Lamiales; Oleaceae
Exons: 5
Source: RefSeq, a predicted model, not a curated record